GAUGCCCUGGCAGUCAGAGGCGAUGAAGGGCGUACUAAUCUGCGAUAAGCGCCGGUAAGGUGAUAUGAACCGUUAUAACCGGCGAUACCCGAAUGGGGAAACCCAGUGUGAUUCGUCACACUAUCAUUAACUGAAUCCAUAGGUUAAUGAGGCGAACCGGGGGAACUGAAACAUCUAAGUACCCCGAGGAAAAGAAAUCAACCGAGAUUCCCCCAGUAGCGGCGAGCGAACGGGGAGGAGCCCAGAGCCUGAAUCAGCAUGUGUGUUAGUGGAAGCGUCUGGAAAGGCGCGCGAUACAGGGUGACAGCCCCGUACACAAAAGCGCAUGUGCUGUGAGCUCGAUGAGUAGGGCGGGACACGUGGUAUCCUGUCUGAAUAUGGGGGGACCAUCCUCCAAGGCUAAAUACUCCUGACUGACCGAUAGUGAACCAGUACCGUGAGGGAAAGGCGAAAAGAACCCCGGCGAGGGGAGUGAAAAAGAACCUGAAACCGUGUACGUACAAGCAGUGGGAGCACAGGUUUACCUGUGUGACUGCGUACCUUUUGUAUAAUGGGUCAGCGACUUAUAUUCUGUAGCAAGGUUAACCGAAUAGGGGAGCCGGAGGGAAACCGAGUCUUAAUUGGGCGUUAAGUUGCAGGGUAUAGACCCGAAACCCGGUGAUCUAGCCAUGGGCAGGUUGAAGGUUGGGUAACACUAACUGGAGGACCGAACCGACUAAUGUUGAAAAAUUAGCGGAUGACCUGUGGCUGGGGGUGAAAGGCCAAUCAAACCGGGAGAUAGCUGGUUCUCCCCGAAAGCUAUUUAGGUAGCGCCUCGUGAAUUCAUCUCCGGGGGUAGAGCACUGUUUCGGCUAGGGGGCCAUCCCGGCUUACCAACCCGAUGCAAACUGCGAAUACCGGAGAAUGUUAUCACGGGAGACACACGGCGGGUGCUAACGUCCGUCGUGAAGAGGGAAACAACCCAGACCGCCAGCUAAGGUCCCAAAGUCAUGGUUAAGUGGGAAACGAUGUGGGAAGGCCCAGACAGCCAGGAUGUUGGCUUAGAAGCAGCCAUCAUUUAAAGAAAGCGUAAUAGCUCACUGGUCGAGUCGGCCUGCGCGGAAGAUGUAACGGGGCUAAACCAUGCACCGAAGCUGCGGCAGCGACACUGUGUGUUGUUGGGUAGGGGAGCGUUCUGUAAGCCUGCGAAGGUGGCCUGUGAGGGUUGCUGGAGGUAUCAGAAGUGCGAAUGCUGACAUAAGUAACGAUAAAGCGGGUGAAAAGCCCGCUCGCCGGAAGACCAAGGGUUCCUGUCCAACGUUAAUCGGGGCAGGGUGAGUCGACCCCUAAGGCGAGGCCGAAAGGCGUAGUCGAUGGGAAACGGGUUAAUAUUCCCGUACUUGGUGUUACUGCGAAGGGGGGACGGAGAAGGCUAUGUUGGCCGGGCGACGGUUGUCCCGGUUUAAGCGUGUAGGUGUGUGUUCCAGGUAAAUCCGGUUCACUUUAACACUGAGGCGUGACGACGAGGCACUACGGUGCUGAAGCAACAAAUGCCCUGCUUCCAGGAAAAGCCUCUAAGCAUCAGGUAACAUCAAAUCGUACCCCAAACCGACACAGGUGGUCAGGUAGAGAAUACCAAGGCGCUUGAGAGAACUCGGGUGAAGGAACUAGGCAAAAUGGUGCCGUAACUUCGGGAGAAGGCACGCUGACACGUAGGUGAAGUGAUUUACUCAUGGAGCUGAAGUCAGUCGAAGAUACCAGCUGGCUGCAACUGUUUAUUAAAAACACAGCACUGUGCAAACACGAAAGUGGACGUAUACGGUGUGACGCCUGCCCGGUGCCGGAAGGUUAAUUGAUGGGGUCAGCGCAAGCGAAGCUCCUGAUCGAAGCCCCGGUAAACGGCGGCCGUAACUAUAACGGUCCUAAGGUAGCGAAAUUCCUUGUCGGGUAAGUUCCGACCUGCACGAAUGGCGUAAUGAUGGCCAGGCUGUCUCCACCCGAGACUCAGUGAAAUUGAACUCGCUGUGAAGAUGCAGUGUACCCGCGGCAAGACGGAAAGACCCCGUGAACCUUUACUAUAGCUUGACACUGAACAUUGAGCCUUGAUGUGUAGGAUAGGUGGGAGGCUUUGAAGUGUGGACGCCAGUCUGCAUGGAGCCGACCUUGAAAUACCACCCUUUAAUGUUUGAUGUUCUAACGUGGACCCGUUACCCGGGUUGCGGACAGUGUCUGGUGGGUAGUUUGACUGGGGCGGUCUCCUCCUAAAGAGUAACGGAGGAGCACGAAGGUUGGCUAAUCCUGGUCGGACAUCAGGAGGUUAGUGCAAUGGCAUAAGCCAGCUUGACUGCGAGCGUGACGGCGCGAGCAGGUGCGAAAGCAGGUCAUAGUGAUCCGGUGGUUCUGAAUGGAAGGGCCAUCGCUCAACGGAUAAAAGGUACUCCGGGGAUAACAGGCUGAUACCGCCCAAGAGUUCAUAUCGACGGCGGUGUUUGGCACCUCGAUGUCGGCUCAUCACAUCCUGGGGCUGAAGUAGGUCCCAAGGGUAUGGCUGUUCGCCAUUUAAAGUGGUACGCGAGCUGGGUUUAGAACGUCGUGAGACAGUUCGGUCCCUAUCUGCCGUGGGCGCUGGAGAACUGAGGGGGGCUGCUCCUAGUACGAGAGGACCGGAGUGGACGCAUCACUGGUGUUCGGGUUGUCAUGCCAAUGGCACUGCCCGGUAGCUAAAUGCGGAAGAGAUAAGUGCUGAAAGCAUCUAAGCACGAAACUUGCCCCGAG
This 2754-nucleotide ribosomal RNA is filed under the name Salmonella enterica subsp. enterica serovar Enteritidis. RNAcentral's name for it is "partial 23S ribosomal RNA". It matches the Rfam family "Bacterial large subunit ribosomal RNA". The record is from RNAcentral. Lineage: Bacteria; Pseudomonadati; Pseudomonadota; Gammaproteobacteria; Enterobacterales; Enterobacteriaceae.